UCAAAAAGGUAAGAAAUAACAAGUGUUGGUGAGGAAGUGGAGAAAAAGGAACACUCGUGCACGGUUGGUGGGAAUGUUAAGUUGGUUCAGUCACUCGGGCGAACGAUAGGGAAGUUCCUCAAAAAAUGCAAAAUAGGACUGCCCUGUGAUCCAGCAACUCCACUGCUGGGUAUUUACCCAAAGGAACCGAAAACAGGACAUCACAACAAUAACUGAACCCCAUGUUUACCGCAGCAUUAUUUACGAUAGCUAAGAUAUGGCAACAACCAAAGUGUCCACGGAUGGAUCCACGGAUAAAAAAGAUGUAUAUGAUGGAAUCUUUUUUUGGCGACGAGAAAGAGGGAAACCUUGCCAUUGUGUGACAUCGUGGAUGGACAUUGACGACAUUGUUCUCAGGGAGAUAAUCUCCUGGAAGGACUCAUCUGAUCGGGUCAGGCCCAGUUGUUGAAAAAACAUAAAAUAAUAGCGAGCAAAUGAAAUGACAAAUAGGACAAAAGACUGAAUUUUGGAAUGAUAUUUGCACCGUAUUUUUUGGCAGAAGAUAACUGAUAGACCGACCUGCCUAGAAGUGAGACGAAGGUAGCCUGGUCAAACUCUGGUCCUAAACACAAAACCAAGAUGGCACAGAAGAAUCGUUCGUAACGUGUGGAACGGUGGUUGCUUCUCUAUCCCUCGGCCUGUCUCUUGAAAGUUAAUCCCAUUUGUGUCUGUCAGUUUUUCCCUGCCUGCAAACACACACACGUGCACGCACACGCACACCUUUGCCCAGACAGACCAACAAGGACCAGCAACUUGGUUGGCUGGCAGUAUCUGGAAGGUUUCCAGCCCCUUCUGUCAAUCCCCAAAGCGCUGUGCAACCUCACCAGAGGCGCGGUGUAUUUCUAGCCACAGAGGUUCAAGUUUUCGAUCACAAAGACACAAGGGCUGUGGAGAAAGGGGAAGUCUGAAGCCGAUGCCUUACGUGGGGGAUCCAGCUGGGAGGACGUUUAGCAACCGUAGAUUGGAGCUAAAGAACCACAUCUCCUUCUCGCUUCCUCAGAAGGGAAGGAACUGAGCUGACCGUGUGAAGAUGGUGUCAGUGCCAUCCGCCCUGGAGCCCCAGCAAGAAAACCAAGGAAUUUUUUUUCUCUGGAUUUGGCGUCCUUCUCCUGAGGGCGCACUGCUCUGAUUUCCAGCUCUGACUUCAGCCCUUUGCUCAAUGAUUCUACUUACGGUUCUCUUCCUGCUUGCGGCCCCCACCCUGCACAUCCAUACACCCACCCACAGGGGGCGGGUAUGUGCACACACACCCGCAUGCACCCAUUACGUAGACUUACCCCAGUUAUAUGCAUACGCAUACAUGCAAGACCAGACAGAUGCACAGCUACACAGACACUUGGAUAAACGCACUUACCCACACACGGGCACACACGUGCUGUCACACUCAGACACACACUGACACAUCUAUCCACAUCUGCAUAUACACGUUCUUAUAACGGUAAAUGCACACACUCUGGAACGCAGACACGCGUGCACAAAUACACGCAAUGUUCAGAGGCACACGUGUGCACGUGACUUCUUGGCAGAAAUUCCAACCCACGUGUCCCGUCAGUGGUGCAUGUGGAUUUUAUUUCUCGAUUGUUGUGGACCCUUUCCUUAUUUUCCUGCAAACUUAGGUAAUCGUAGUUCUGAAGAAGUGAAAAAUGCCAAACAGGCAGAGCACCUGAGCAGGGGACAGGGGAGCCCAACGCCAGCCCUCAUGAGGGAUGGGGGACAGGGAGGGGGCAGGGAGCUGUGCUGACACAGACUUUGGGUUUGGGUCGUGAAGCCCUUGGGUGGUCCUUGGUGGUCCUCACGGUGCCAGAGGCGGAGCAGACCCCACACCCCGGUUGCCCCGGUCUCUGCAGUGUUGAAUGCCUUGCGGUCACGGGAGCCACGUCCCCCAUCACUGUACGUGUCCUCGGACCCAGCUACCUUUCUGGGGAGGGCCACUUUUCCUGCAUCUAGAUCGCCCUGUGGUGUGUGGAUGUGGUCCACGCUCCCCCACCGUGGAGAUCCGUAGCAGCAGUUUAGGUAGCAACAUCGAACUUCCCAGCCUCAGGAAGGACAGAAGUCUUCCUCUCUACUUCGGCCGGACCCAGCUACACUUGGACCGGGGAAUGCGAACAAUCACCGUGGCUCUUGCGCGAAAUUCCCCUGUGUACAUCAAGAGCGGGGUUGGUGGAGCGCCCGGGUCCCGGGGCGGGUGCCAGCACAGGCUGGCGUCAGGAGGGCUGAUGGGUAUGUUGCUCUGCGGUCCGUCUCGGCCUGGGCAGAGCCCCUGGAGGAUAGGUAGGUUCUGUAAUGGCCGUGCUUUCGUGGGGCCUGUGCACUCAUACUUCAUUUUGCAGAGGCAGUUCCGGGGGCUCUACCUGAGAAGAUAAGGCUGCUCUCGGGAGAGGGGCAGGCACCAGGGGCCCUGGCUCUCCUUCCAGGGGCUCACACAGCUUGUGCGUGGCCUGCCUUCCUCCCGCGACCUUCCCUUCACGGCCCCCAAAUCCCAGCUCAGGAGGACAGCUGGGCUAGUUUCACCCUCGCUAUUUCCCCUCCUCUGUCUGCGCCCCCAGGAUGGGCAGGGGCCGACGGCAUGUGCCAGGACCUGGCUGUCUUCCCCGCUCCACGUGGAUGCUCGGGGUCGGCAGAGGUGAGCGGCAGGCAGAUCUCUCCGUCCCACAGGACCGUCUACUCCAUCCUCCCGGCCUCAUCGAGGGCAGGGCUGCUUGGAGCCAGGGAAGAAACCACCUAAAAAUCUCCUUAAGAAGAAUCGUAAAACUCCCUUCCUUAAGACGUGUGGGCUCCCGUUUCUACAAUUUUUAACCUGCUUGACGAGCCAAUGCCUCCGAUGUCUAUCUGAAAGUGUCCUCUAAGGUGGGGACCAGGUGAGGCCGGUGAGGCACCCCAGAAGUGGAAUCGGAGGAGGCGCUCACUCCCAGGUCGGGGAAGAGCAGGGUCAUGACCUUGAGACAGAGGCCCCUCAAGUCUCUCACCCUGGGCAUCUCACCUAGUUCCUUCUCUGGUGCUGUCUACUCCCCAUCCCUGAUCCAUUAGGGGGCAUCUGAGGGUGAACAGUUUGAUGUCGAAGCUAGACUUUUAUCUUCUCCUCCUCAAGGGGACAGAAGAACCACUCAAAACAGAAGGUACUCAGGUUCUGAUAAACUGAAUGCAGUUACCAGACAGCCCAGCAAUUGCACUCUUGGGCAUUUGUCCCAGGGACACAAAGUCCCAGACGCCCUUCAGGGGGUGAGUGGCUAAGGAAAGAGAGACAUGUCUGCCCCACGGGCCACCACUCGGUGAUAAAAGGAACGAACCACGGAUGCGUUCAACACCUACAGCACAUCCACUCCCGUUUGUGGGUCUUGUAGAUGUCUAGAAGCCAAACUUUGUCAAUGAGCAAGUAACGCCUCGUCCAAACACCAGGGACCAGCACCACUAGACCUGUGGGGCACUGGAACAGCAAAACACAUUUUCUCUGGAGGACAUGCUUAACAUUUGAUCAAUGUCUCUAGUAGUCCUUUGUGAAAACAAGUCCUCUGUAGGUCUUGACUUGUACAUCACUUGUAAGGUGCUUUGUUUGCCUGAUAAUAUCCGGCACAGGACUAGGAACGGGGGGCAAAGCAGACAGCAGCUGAGGGUAGGGAACAGAACAUCAAGCCAGGGCUGGGCUGAGCCUGACCUCUUGGGGACCAGCCAGCGUGUUCUGUGCGAGCUUAUUGGCCCAGCCCUUCCUGGUGGCUAGACCUUCUCAACCAGGGGUCCCGCAGAGCAAGCAGGACUGUGGAUGCAGUCACGUGGCCAGCAGCCCCACUGGCCUGUCCUCACCCACUGGCCACGCACACAAGUUUGGCUCCCCAUCAGGAGACCCUUUGGACAGGUACCGGCCCCCCCAAAGCUGGUGCUACCUCUCUAGACUUUAUAGAAGGAGUCAUGGCAUACCGCUGAAUUUUAUAAGCCAUCAGUUUGAACAACAUAACUUUUAGACAUGUUUCUCAGGGUGUUACUCUGGGUCACAAAAAUAUAACGUGAUCCAGAGAAUAACUCCUUUCCUUUUUUUAAAAAAAUGGGGAAACCACAGCACAAACAAGGCUGCUUCCCCAGGUCACAUGGAGAGGUCUGUGUCAGCCUCCAAACAGCCAAGGCAACUCAACCUCACCCAGGCUCAUGACUCAGAAGUGGAAGUCUCUGCCACAAAACCCAAACCCAGAGUCCAAACCCUGCGUGUAAGCGGGGGAGCUUCAAGGGUCAAGGCUCAUGGUCUCACAAGAGAAGUCAGCUCACAGAAGUCAUCACAGGGAAAGAGGAUGCUUUGUCAGUGACACAAAUAAAAUGAUGGAGAGAAUGGCUAUUGCGAGUAUGACAGGGUUGCCAGUUUAAUUGUAAACAACCGGAAAAAGGUCACAAGAUGUGUUUUCCAGAGAGUCUGCAAAUUCCAGCAGGGUUUUCUUUUUAAUUUUUUUUAAUGUAUUUAUUUUUGAGAGAGAGAUAGAACACAAGUAGGGGAGGGGCAGAGAGAAGGGGAGACACAGAAUCCGAAGGAGGCUCCAGGCUCCCAGCUGUCAGCACAGAGCCUGAUGCGGGGCUUGAACCCAUGAACUGUAAGAUCAUGACCUAAAGUUGGAUACUUAGUCGACUGAGCCACCCAGGCGCCCCUCCAGCUGGGUUUAAUAGAGCAAUUCUAUGUAUUUCAGCUGCCAGUUUGCAGGAGAAGUGCUGGGAAGUGGUUGGAUUCUGGAUAUAUGUUGAAGGCAAAGCAGACAUAAUUUGCAUGUGGUGGAGAUGCAGGGGUGCGAGGAGAAGGGACAGCAAGGAUGAGGCCAAGGCAGUGGCUCUUUGUCUCCAGAUGUGUAGGGGUGUGUGUGACUUCACUGCCCCCUGUCCUGGAGCCCCUUCUGUCACAGGCUUCCCUUUCUUCCUCCAAAACGAGGGGACAGGGGCAAUGUUGGCUUUUCUUACAGAAGAUGUCAGGAGCCAGUGACCCCUGCGCCCAUGGCCACCCGGCUGUGAGUGUCCAGACCGAAGUCACCCAUCAGCUACACUCACGCCCGGGAGUAGUUGCUUAGCAAACGUUCCCACUUUCCAGUCCUGGUUGCUGCUACCUAGGAGAUGUUUGGACGGACAAAGCACGGGACAGAUGGCUACCGAGGGACAGGGACAGCUGGUCGUACUUUUCAACCCUUUUGUGGUUGUGACCCACCAGAAGAAAUAUCUUUCACAUCACAAGCCAGGAUGCACACUCAACACACACACACACACACACACACACAUACACACACAGCCUUCUGUAUUCUCUUCUCUCCCAUUUAGGUUCAUUUUUUUUAAAUACAGCUCAAAACCCACUAAAUAGACACACAGUUCUGCAAAUCCCUCUUUCAUACAACGCGGGACAAGAAUAUUCUUCCUGUCUGAAACUGAGGACACGGUUUGUGACCCCAGUCAUCUGUUGAAGGUGCCCACUGUCCUUGGAGGUUGGAGAAGCAGAGGCAGGUAGGUGCCUUUAGGAGACGCGCUUGCCCUGCAGGUACUGAGUUUGCAAGAGAAAUGCCAAGAAAUCUGACUUUAGUCCUCCUGGGGUCCCAGGACCAUGCCCUUGGGCUCAAGUCGUCACCCAGUCCCGUGGUGGCUGCCGGGCUCAGGUGGGGUUACAUCGACCCCUCUUCUGGGAUCGGAGCUCUGGGCGCCGAGUGAGGCACUGUCUUGUUUGUUGUCUCAUCUUGGGGUGGCCAGAGAACAAGCCCAUAGAUCAUUUCCUUACCGCUUUUUAAAGAGAUGAUCUCUAUGGAGACACAGACAGAGGACAACACAAGUAACCAACGCAGAGAAAGUUCUCAGAACAUUACAAGGGCUCAUACUGUCUUGGGACCAAGGCCUUCGGAGAAUGGCAGCUUCAAUUGUCACCUUCCAACUGUCCCUUCCUUUCAUGAAGGUCCAGCAAGGACUUCAUUCUAACCCAUGUUUAUCAGCCACCCGCCACUGACAUCCUUAAGGACCUCAAUUUAAAUUGUUUUCAUGGGGCGCCUGGGUGGCUCAGCCAGUCAAGCGUCCGACUCUUGAUUUCAGCUCCGCUCUUGAUCUUGGGGUUGUGACUUUGGGCCCCACAUUGAGCUUUGCGCUGGGCAUGAACCCCACUUUAAAAAAAAAGGAAAGAAAAAACUAGAUUGUUUUUGUAAGUCAGACUUACUAUAUUUUGUAACCAUUGAUCGGUGUUUAUGAUCCGAAGUCCAGCCUUUUCUAUAGGCCCUCCUAUUCAUUUUGAUAACUUUAAAUUUGUGACUCUUGAGUGUUCUAGGUACACAAUCGCAUCAUAGGCAACUAAAGAUAACUCUGCCUCUCUUAUUCUAAAAGCUGUAUCUUUUAUUGUUUCUAGAACUUCUAGAGCAAUGUUAGAACACAGUAGUAGAACAUGGCAGGACUCUAUCUCUGAUUUUAUUGGAAAUGCUGCCAGUUCCUUACCCUUAAAGCAUAAUAUUGCCUAUUUGGUAUAAAUUACCCAAAAAGAAUGGUGGUCGAACUUUAUUAAAUGCCUCUUCAGCAUCUAUUGA
Felis catus (domestic cat) is the source of this 6554-nucleotide long non-coding RNA. RefSeq lists it as uncharacterized. The transcript has 2 exons. The record is from RefSeq and is a predicted model, not a curated record. Lineage: Eukaryota; Metazoa; Chordata; Mammalia; Carnivora; Felidae.